GACGAACGCUGGCGGCGUGCCUAAUACAUGCAAGUAGAACGCACAGUUUAUACCGUAGCUUGCUACACCAUAGACUGUGAGUUGCGAACGGGUGAGUAACGCGUAGGUAACCUGCCUGGUAGCGGGGGAUAACUAUUGGAAACGAUAGCUAAUACCGCAUAACAUUAAUUAUUGCAUGAUAAUUAAUUGAAAGGUGCAAUUGCACCACUACCAGAUGGACCUGCGUUGUAUUAGCUAGUAGGUGAGGUAACGGCUCACCUAGGCGACGAUACAUAGCCGACCUGAGAGGGUGAUCGGCCACACUGGGACUGAGACACGGCCCAGACUCCUACGGGAGGCAGCAGUAGGGAAUCUUCGGCAAUGGACGAAAGUCUGACCGAGCAACGCCGCGUGAGUGAAGAAGGUUUUCGGAUCGUAAAGCUCUGUUGUAAGAGAAGAACGGGUGUGAGAGUGGAAAGUUCACACUGUGACGGUAUCUGACCAGAAAGGGACGGUUAACUACGUG
This 505-nucleotide ribosomal RNA is filed under the name uncultured bacterium. RNAcentral's name for it is "partial 16S ribosomal RNA". It matches the Rfam family "Bacterial small subunit ribosomal RNA", at positions 28 to 507 of the family's 1533-position model. The record is from RNAcentral.